AGAGUUUGAUCCUGGCUCAGGAUGAACGCCGGCGGUGUGCCUAAUACAUGCAAGUCGAGCGCACUGGCCCAACUGAUAUGACGUGCUUGCACUGAAUUGACGUUGGAUUACCAGUGAGCGGCGGACGGGUGAGUAACACGUGGGCAACCUGCCCUGAAGCGGGGGAUAACAUCUGGAAACAGGUGCUAAUACCGCAUAACAACGAAAACCACAUGGUUUUCGUUUCAAAGAUGGUUUCGGCUAUCACUUCAGGAUGGGCCCGCGGUGCAUUAGCUAGUUGGUAAGGUAACGGCUUACCAAGGCAAUGAUGCAUAGCCGAGUUGAGAGACUGAUCGGCCACAAUGGAACUGAGACACGGUCCAUACUCCUACGGGAGGCAGCAGUAGGGAAUCUUCCACAAUGGGCGCAAGCCUGAUGGAGCAACACCGCGUGAGUGAAGAAGGGUUUCGGCUCGUAAAGCUCUGUUGUUGGAGAAGAACGUGCGUGAGAGUAACUGUUCACGCAGUGACGGUAUCCAACCAGAAAGUCACGGCUAACUACGUGCCAGCAGCCGCGGUAAUACGUAGGUGGCAAGCGUUAUCCGGAUUUAUUGGGCGUAAAGCGAGCGCAGGCGGUUGCUUAGGUCUGAUGUGAAAGCCUUCGGCUUAACCGAAGAAGGGCAUCGGAAACCGGGCAACUUGAGUGCAGAAGAGGACAGUGGAACUCCAUGUGUAGCGGUGGAAUGCGUAGAUAUAUGGAAGAACACCAGUGGCGAAGGCGGCUGUCUGGUCUGCAACUGACGCUGAGGCUCGAAAGCAUGGGUAGCGAACAGGAUUAGAUACCCUGGUAGUCC
This 832-nucleotide ribosomal RNA is filed under the name uncultured bacterium. RNAcentral describes it as "bacterial SSU rRNA". It matches the Rfam family "Bacterial small subunit ribosomal RNA", at positions 8 to 796 of the family's 1533-position model. The record is from RNAcentral.